AAUCAACGCUGGCGGCGUGCCUAACACAUGCAAGUUGAGCGCUUGAGGGGGCAACCCCCAAGAGAGCAGCGAACGGGUGAGUAACGCGUGGGUGAUCUUCCUUCGAGUGGGGAACAACAUCGGGAAACUGGUGCUAAUUCCGCAUAAUAUCCUCGGGCCACGAGCCUGGGAUCAAAGCCGGGGACCGCAAGGCCUGGCGCUUGAAGAUGAGCCCGCGUCCGAUUAGCUAGUUGGCGGGGUAAUGGCCCACCAAGGCUCCGAUCGGUAGCCGGCCUGAGAGGGCGGACGGCCACACUGGAACUGAGACACGGUCCAGACUCCUACGGGAGGCAGCAGUGGGAAUUUUCGCAAUGGGCGCAAGCCUGACGAAGCAACGCCGCGUGGAGGAUGAAGGUCUUCGGAUUGUAAACUCCUGUCGACCGGGACGAAUGCACUCGACCUAAUACGUCGGAAUGUUGACGGUACCGGUGGAGGAAGCCACGGCUAACUCUGUGCUAGCAGCCGCGGUAAU
Molecule: ribosomal RNA, 511 nt
Filed under: uncultured bacterium
Lineage: Bacteria
Description: bacterial SSU rRNA
Rfam family: Bacterial small subunit ribosomal RNA
Source: RNAcentral